Molecule: RNA transcript, 1900 nt
Organism: Chinchilla lanigera (long-tailed chinchilla)
Lineage: Eukaryota; Metazoa; Chordata; Mammalia; Rodentia; Chinchillidae
Gene name: basic proline-rich protein-like
Exons: 4
Source: RefSeq, a predicted model, not a curated record
UUUGGACUCCAGAGACACGCGGCCUCCUGCCGAGAGAGUGCUCCCCAAUCCGGUGCCAGAGGCCGCAGAGCUCAGAUGGCACCCGGCCUGCUCCUCCCGGCCCGGCCCCUUCGCUUCUAUGGCUUUGUGGAGGGAGCGCGCCACCUGCUUUUGCAUAGGCCACGCAGGACGCGAGGAUCCGCUUCUCCCGAAGCCAGCCAGCCGUCCCUCCUCGGCGCACCCCACCCGCCCGGGCCAGACAGUCGCGGAGCACGGAGCUGCGUCCGCCCUCCCUGCACACCGGCCCGCCGUCGGGUCUGCCCCUCUCCCCUCCUGCCUUCCCGCCCACUCUCCGCCCCUCUCAGCCCACAGUCACCCUGUCACAGUCCCCAGCGGCACCGCGCUGGGCAGCGCCCCGGCGCCGCCACGCCCUCCGCGUCAGGCUGGGCUCGUGACCUCGCCGUGACUGCCAUCGGUUUUCUGUGCCCGCCGCGGCGUCUGCCUGUCCCGCCUCCCUCCUUCCCGUCCUCCAAAGGCCGCCUUGGCACUGCGUGCCGGGACCCUCUGCUCUGCACCCCAGGCCGAGCUCCGAGGCUGGGUCUCUGCCCACGCUGCCGCCUGGCGGCCCUGUCGGGAAUCCGGCCUCGCUGCCCAGCUGCCUUCCCGGCCCCGCCGUCCCCUCCGCCCUCGGCCCAUUGCCCACAGCGCCUCUCCUCUGUCCUCCUCCGCAGGCCCCGUCCCACCCACACCAGCGCCAGGCCCGAGCCAGCUGCCCUCCCGCCUCGCGGUGCUCGUCCUCACGGGGUGGCAGGGAGGCCACCACGCCUCCCGCCUGCACACUGUGACGUCCCUUCCCGCAGAGCGGCCCGUGGCGCCCGCCUGCAGUGCGCACGGACCCGGCCUGUCCCUGUCCCAGCCCCCGCGGCUCCCUGGGGCCCUUGGAGUGAGCUGCUCACGCUCGGUCCAGGCUCCUUCCCAGGCUCUCGCAUGCUGCUCCCCCUCCCUGCACUCUCCUCCUCCUCAUCCUUCAUCCCUCGGCCUUGCCUGGCUUUAAGGCCACUUCCUCCAGGCAGCCUUCCUGGUUCAUCCUCAAAACCAAUCAGACCACACACAGCAGCUUCUGGCUCCCUGAGGAGGGCCGGGAAGCCGCACCUGUGUGACAGAAACGUCCUUUCCCGGCCUCCUCUGUUAUUGGUUAGCAGAGAUGACGUUAAGGUAGCAGCUGCAGUUUGGAAGUUGGGCGCUUGGAGGAAGCGACAGAGCUGGAGGGUGACACCGCCUGUUUGAUCUGACUCUGCCUAAGCGUGAAUCUCGUCCCCAGAGUUCGGCAGAUCCUGGGGAGUGGACGCACCAGGGUGGACGAGCAGAUGUGCAGGCGAAGCCCCUUGCAAACCGGACUUCCGGGUUUCCCGCUGUUCACCUCCAGUGUUUUGUGUGUUUGUUUGUUCGCUGGCGCUAGCGACCCAACCUAGGGUCUUAUCUGUGAUGAGCACAUUCUCUUCCACUGAGCCACAUCCUGGCCCCGACAGCAUUGCAAAUUUCUACACAAUCAGGUUCAAGCCAGGAGACAGAAGGGAGACGCUGGCCUGAAAUACCAAGCCUUGUUUGUGACCCCGUGGACCCCCUCCCCCAAUGGCAAGGCCCAGCAGCGGACACCGGAGUCAGCUCGCCAUCUAGUGCAGUCUUGCAAAUGAGUUUAUUCCCAUUUCGAAGGGGAGGAAACCAGCUUGGAGGGACGGUGUGCGUGUGGGAAGGGAGAGCUGAAUCCAGCACGGAUCCAGUUCCACUCCGGUGCAGAGCCCGGGUUCACUGCCGCCAACGCGCUGCUGUCUUGGGGACUCUGAGCGCUUCUGGAGGAUUAAGAACGAGAAAGUGUGACGGGUGAGGGCUCUGGGAACACUUGGACCUUCUGUCGCCCACA